UACGUAGGCAGCAAGCGUUGUUCGGAGUUACUGGGCGUAAAGGGUGUGUAGGCGGUCUUCUAAGUUUGGUGUGAAAUCUCCCGGCUCAACUGGGAGGGUGCGCCGAAAACUGGGAGGCUAGAGUGCGGGAUGGGAGAGUGGAAUUCCUGGUGUAGCGGUGAAAUGCGUAGAUAUCAGGAGGAACACCGGUGGUGUAGACGGCUCUCUGGACAGUAACUGACGCUGAGACACGAAAGCGUGGGUAGCAAACAGG
RNAcentral lists this ribosomal RNA (253 nucleotides) under uncultured bacterium. RNAcentral's name for it is "partial 16S ribosomal RNA". It matches the Rfam family "Bacterial small subunit ribosomal RNA", at positions 524 to 776 of the family's 1533-position model. The record is from RNAcentral.